This 151-nucleotide unclassified non-coding RNA is filed under the name uncultured fungus. Its description in RNAcentral is "sequence contains ITS1". Lineage: Eukaryota; Fungi. The record is from RNAcentral.
UUGAUUCAAUUUUCUGAUUCAGACGUCGGACGGAUUCAGGCGUGGAUGCGGCGCCGGAGCGCCGAAGCACGGGUCGCUUCCACCUGGUUUGUGCGUCGAGGGCGACUGGCGCCGUUCGAUAAUGAUCCCUCCGCAGGUUCACCUACGGAGA